AUGUUACAGGGCGGUGCGGGUCUUCAUCCUCCAUGUUACAGGGCGGUGCGGAUCUUCAUCCUCAAUGUUACAGGGCGGUGCCAGUCUUCACCCUCCAUGUUACAGGGCGGUGCCAGUCUUCACCCUCCAUGUUAUAGGGCGGUGCCGGUCUUCACCCUCCAUGUUACAGGGCGGUGCGGGUCUUCACCCUUCAUGUUACAGGGCGGUGCCAGUCUUCACCCUCCAUGUUACAGGGAUACAGGGCGGUGCCGGUCUUCACCCUCCAUGUUACAGGGCGGUGCCGGUCUUCACCCUCCAUGUUACAGGGCGGUGCCGGUCUUCACCCUCCAUGUUACAGGGCGGUGCCGGUCUUCACCCUCCAUGUUACAGGGCGGUGCCGGUCUUCACCCUCCAUGUUACAGGGCGGUGCCGGUCUUCACCCUCCAUGUUACAGGGCGGUGCCGGUCUUCACCCUCCAUGUUACAGGGCGGUGCCGGUCUUCAUCCUCCAUGUUACAGGGAUACAGGGCGGUGCCGGUCUUCACCCUCCAUGUUACAGGGAUACAGGGCGGUGCGGGUCUUCACCCUCCAUGUUACAGGGAUACAGGGCGGUGCGGGUCUUCACCCUCCAUGUUACAGGGAUACAGGGCGGUGCAGGUCUUCACCCUCCAUGUUACAGGGAUACAGGGCGGUGCGGUUCUUCACCCUCCAUGUUACAGGGAUACAGGGCGGUGCGGUUCUUCACCCUCCAUGUUACAGGGAUACAGGGCGGUGCAGGUCUUCACCCUCCAUGUUACAGGGAUACAGGGCGGUGCAGGUCUUCACCCUCCAUGUUACAGGGAUACAGGGCGGUGCAGGUCUUCACCCUCCAUGUUACAGGGAUACAGGGCGGUGCGGUUCUUCACCCUCCAUGUUACAGGGAUACAGGGCGGUGCAGGUCUUCACCCUCCAUGUUACAGGGAUACAGGGCGGUGCAGGUCUUCACCCUCCAUGUUACAGGGAUACAGGGCGGUGCAGGUCUUCACCCUCCAUGUUACAGGGAUACAGGGCGGUGCAGGUCUUCACCCUCCAUGUUACAGGGAUACAGGGCGGUGCAGGUCUUCACCCUCCAUGUUACAGGGAUACAGGGCGGUGCAGGUCUUCACCCUCCAUGUUACAGGGAUACAGGGCGGUGCAGGUCUUCACGCUCCAUGUUACAGGGCGGUCCUGGUCUUUAUAUUCCAUAUUAAAGAGCGAUGUGGGAUUUUAUUUCUUUUAUUUAGUGGCCACUUACGGUGGGUGUCUUUUAGGGCACAAACAUCUUGUUGCUUGCGGCUUUCAGUGGACACCUCCAUGGGUUAUUUAA
This 1323-nucleotide long non-coding RNA is filed under the name Oncorhynchus kisutch (coho salmon). RNAcentral's name for it is "lncRNA (ENSOKIG00005004720.1)". The record is from RNAcentral. Lineage: Eukaryota; Metazoa; Chordata; Actinopteri; Salmoniformes; Salmonidae.